RNAcentral lists this ribosomal RNA (253 nucleotides) under uncultured bacterium. RNAcentral's name for it is "partial 16S ribosomal RNA". It matches the Rfam family "Bacterial small subunit ribosomal RNA", at positions 524 to 776 of the family's 1533-position model. The record is from RNAcentral.
UACGUAGGGUGCAAGCGUUGUCCGGAAUUAUUGGGCGUAAAGAGCUCGUAGGCGGUUUGUCGCGUCUGCUGUGAAAACGCGAGGCUCAACCUCGCGCCUGCAGUGGGUACGGGCAGACUAGAGUGCGGUAGGGGAGAUUGGAAUUCCUGGUGUAGCGGUGGAAUGCGCAGAUAUCAGGAGGAACACCGAUGGCGAAGGCAGAUCUCUGGGCCGUUACUGACGCUGAGGAGCGGAAGCGUGGGGAGCGAACAGG